This 250-nucleotide ribosomal RNA is filed under the name uncultured bacterium. RNAcentral describes it as "partial 16S ribosomal RNA". It matches the Rfam family "Bacterial small subunit ribosomal RNA", at positions 515 to 764 of the family's 1533-position model. The record is from RNAcentral.
CCGCGGUAAUACGAAGGGUGCAAGCGUUAUCCGGAUUCAUUGGGUUUAAAGGGUGCGUAGGUGGGGCGUUAAGUCAGUGGUGAAAUCCUGCAGCUCAACUGUAGACUUGCCAUUGAUACUGGCGUUCUUGAGUGCGCUUGAAGUAGGCGGAAUGUGCCGUGUAGCGGUGAAAUGCUUAGAUAUGGCACAGAACACCAAUUGCGAAGGCAGCUUACUAAGGCGAUACUGACACUGAGGCACGAAAGCGUGG